Molecule: ribosomal RNA, 847 nt
Filed under: Protapion laevicolle
Lineage: Eukaryota; Metazoa; Arthropoda; Insecta; Coleoptera; Brentidae
Description: partial 16S ribosomal RNA
Rfam family: tRNA (bases 663-725)
Source: RNAcentral
UUCAGAGGAACCUGUUCUAUAAUUGAUAAUCCACGAUUUAAAUUACUUAUUUUAUUAAUUUACAUAUCGUCGUAGAUUGAAUAUUUUUAUAGAAUUUUAAUAUUCAACAUUUUUUAUGAAAAAAUAUAUCAGAUCAAGGUGUAGUUUAUAAAUAAGAAGAAAUGGGUUACAAUAAAAAUAUUUAUAUGGAUAAUUAAUUUAAAAUUGAUUUGAAAGAGGAUUUGAAAGUAAUUUUAAUUUAUUUAUUAAAAUGAUUUUAGCUCUAAAAUAUGCACAUAUCGCCCGUCAUUUUCACUAUAAAGUGAAACAAGUCGUAACAUAGUAGGUGUACUGGAAAGUGUACCUAGAAAGACAAAUUAGAGCUUGAUAUAAAGCAUUUUAUUUACAUUAAAAAGUUUACUGUGAAAUUCAGUAUAAUUUGAGUUUAAAGUAUUAUUUAAUUUAAUUUUUAUUAAUUAUUUAAAGAAAAUAUUUUAUUGUUUAAUUAAAAUAAAGAAAAAAUUUAUUUUAUAAUAGUGAAUUAGUAUUGUAAAAGAAUUAUUUUAAAUUUUAUUCAAACCGGUGUGAGCCAGGUUGGUUUCUAUCUCAAAUUAGUUAAUAUAUUUUAGUACGAAAGGACCAAAUAUAUAUUUAAUAAAUUUUAUUAUGAAUAAUUUUAAUAUGUUAUUUUGGCAGAAUAGUGCGAUAGAUUUAGAAUCUAUAUAUGUAAUUUUUUACAAAUAAUACUUGAUUUUUAAAGAUUUAAUAAUAAUAAUAAUUUCUAGAAUUAUUUUAGUUUUAUGUGUUAUAAUUGGCGUAGCAUUUUUGACUUUACUGGAGCGUAAGGUGUUAGGAUAUAUUCAAAUUC